UCCACGUUUCGGCAGGCAAGCGGUAUCUGAAUAUUUAAUACUUAAUCAUUGAUUUAAUUAUUUGGCAUUUUUACCAACGGACACUUAGGCCUUUGACUUUGCCGGCCAAAUUCACGUGACAACAGCCAAAAACCGGCAUACACCAGCUAACGUAAACCCUGGGUGGACCGGGGUCAUCCGUGCACUGGGAGCUGUGACCCACAAACUUGGAGAACGGUUCCCACACUUUUUAAGGAACAACAUCUGAGAUGUCUGUCCAGAGAAGAACAGUCCUAGGAACAACUAAGAUACUGCACAGAACCCUCAAACUCCCAGGAUUCUGGUGGCGGACCCAAGACUGACGAAGAAACAACGGAAAAGACUAGUUAGCAUCGGGAGGAGAGGGAGGACAGUGAUAAAAUCGGACCUCUUGCUUAUUUUCCUCCUAAUGGGACCUUUAACCUCAUGUACUACCCGUACUAUGGCAAGAAAUCUCAGUUGGAGACAAAGUGGACCUCGGUGGACCUGGUUCUCUGUAGACCUCCGUGUGGACUCACCUGGGCGUGUACUCCAGGUGAGA
This is a long non-coding RNA of Solea solea (common sole), 559 nucleotides long. RefSeq lists it as uncharacterized. The transcript is spliced from 3 exons. NCBI's taxonomy places the organism in Eukaryota, Metazoa, Chordata, Actinopteri, Pleuronectiformes, Soleidae. The record is from RefSeq and is a predicted model, not a curated record.